This is a non-coding RNA of Lacerta agilis (Sand lizard), 2117 nucleotides long. Lineage: Eukaryota; Metazoa; Chordata; Lepidosauria; Squamata; Lacertidae. The record is from the annotation of a RefSeq genome assembly.
AGAAAAUUGCUUUGAAGCCAAAAUGUGUGGCUGGGGCAUUUCUUCAUUAGACCAAAAUAGUGUUGCCAAAAGGUCCAAGCAGAAUGAAGUUUCUGUACCAAGUUGCUGGUUAGAACGAUCUGUGUGCAACUGGUACUUCGAUGCUUGGGGACCUGGAACUCAGCUGACUGUCACUUCAGCUUCCCCAGCUGCCCCAACUCUUUUCCCUCUCAUUGCUCCUCCUGGGAGCGAGGACAGUGCAACGUCCACCAUCGGGUGCUUGGCCAAGAAUUUCCUUCCUGACUCGAUCACUUUCUCCUGGAACAAUAAGAACAAUGUCAGCGACAGUAAAAUCACGACCAAGAACUUUCCUUCAGCACUCCUCACCGGUGGGACUUACAUCGCAAGUUCCCAGGCGCUCGUCCCAUCUGCUGACUGGAUGAACUUUGAUCCAUUUUACUGCAAGGCUGACCACCCUUCUGGAAAUGCAGUGGUACGAGUGGUCCGUAGCAGUGAAACACCAGUCGAACGGCCUAAACCUGAGAUGUCUGUACAUGCACCGCCCAUUCAAGCCUUUUUUGGCAGUUACCUGAAUGCCACCAUCACCUGCAGUGUAGUUAACCUUCCCUCCAGCAAGUACACACUUCAGUGGCUGAAGAAGGAACAGGUACUUGACUCUGGCUUCACCACCACCCAGCCAAACCGAGAGGGCAGUGGUUACAGCAUAAAGAGUAAACUCAUAGUCACCAAGAAAGACUGGCUCAGCGACAUUUCCUUCUCUUGUGCGGUGAAUGGCAAGGACUUCAAUGACACACUGAAGAUCAACAGGCACUCUUUUUGUCAAGGUGAGCUUCAAUGUUCUUUUAUGAGAAAUCUGACCAUUCAGAAUGAGAGUGACGUGCCUUGUGAUGAGGGUGUCCGUGUGGAAACGAUCCCACCAUCCUACGCUGACAUCUUCCAGACCAAGUCAGCCAAGCUGACCUGCAGAAUUUCGAACGUACCUUAUGAACAGGAUCUUUCAGCACUGAAUGUUACCUGGACAAAAGUAUCUGACAAAACACUACUGAAGACCGUACUUGGAAAGCGAGAAGAUCAGGCUAACGGGCUUACUUACAUUGACGCUACAGCCACCGUGUGCGCCACAGAAUGGGACAGCCAUCAAACGUUCACGUGCAAAGUUAAUUUCCCGGGCUUACUUCCUGAACCUGUCGACAAAACUUUGGAAAAGUUUCAUGGUGGCACCCCAUAUAGCCCAGCCAUCUACGUCCUUCCCCCUACCCCAGAAGAACUAGCUCUGCGAGAAACAGCCACCAUCGCUUGCCUAGUGAAAAAUUUCUACCCCGAAGAUAUCUUUGUGCAGUGGCUCCACAAUGAUCAGCCAGUGAAUCCUGCAAAUUCCUACACCAGUGAACCCAAAGAAGAGCCCAAGAUGCAAGGAAGGUUCUUCGUCUAUAGCAUAUUGUCCAUCAGUGAAAGCGACUGGAGUCAUGGAGACAAAUACACUUGUGUCGUGGGACAUGAGGCACUGCCCCUGAACAGCACUCAGAAGACCGUGGACAAGAACACGGUUUACCUAGAUGGGAUCGUGGACACCGACGAUGAGGAAUUCCAAAACAUCUCGUCCAUCCUUUCCACUUUCAUCAUCCUUUUUCUCGUGAGCCUGUUCUACAGUGCCACUGUGACCGUCAUAAAGGUGAAAUAGCAGCGUGAAGGGUCUUCUGGCAACAGACAGUGACUUCUGUAUUCACCAGCAACAUAAUAAAGGACUUCUUCGUCCACUUUUGGAGGAAAAAGAAGGAUGCAUUGGGGCAGGGUUGCCUUUCCAUCUUGCUUUGAAUCAUGACCUCAGGAUACACAUUGGCUUUAACUAGAUUUAGACCCACUGUUUACAUUUUUGAGCUAUGAUGCAAUUUUGCUUCACUUUUCUGAGUGCAUAUGUGUGUUUCCCCAGCAUCUCUUUGGUAGUCAUGUUUCAUUUCAGCUAUAGUUGUAUACCUGGUCGAAAGCCUUAAUGUGAAUAUUGCACUUUUAACUUUCAACAAACAGAGAAUCAUUGCACAAUAUGUACCGACUAGAAUGUUUCUCAUUUAUAUCAUGAUUGCUAUAUAAUACUGCAAUAAAGAUAUAUUCUUCACUGA